GCUUCCCUCUGUCGGCGUGCCUAAUACAUGCAAGUCGAGCGAACGGACGAGAAGCUUGCUUCUCUGAUGUUAGCGGCGGACGGGUGAGUAACACGUGGAUAACCUACCUAUAAGACUGGGAUAACUUCGGGAAACCGUAGCUAAUACCGGAUAAUAUUUUGAACCGCAUGGUUCAAAAGUGUAAGACGGUCUUGCUGUCACUUAUAGAUGGAUCCGCGCUGCAUUAGCUAGUUGGUAAGGUAACGGCUUACCAAGGCAACGAUGCAUAGCCGACCUGAGAGAGUGAUCGGCCACCCUGGAACUGAGACACGGUCCAGACUCCUACGGGAGGCAGCAGUAGGGAAUCUUCCGCAAUGGGCGAAAGCCUGACGGAGCAACGCCGCGUGAGUGAUGAAGGUCUUCGGAUCGUAAAACUCUGUUAUUAGGGAAGAACAUAUGUGUAAGUAACUGUGCACAUCUUGACGGUACCUAAUCAGAAAGCCACGGCUAACUACGUG
Molecule: ribosomal RNA, 497 nt
Filed under: uncultured bacterium
Lineage: Bacteria
Description: partial 16S ribosomal RNA
Rfam family: Bacterial small subunit ribosomal RNA
Source: RNAcentral